CCUACGGGAGGCAGCAGUGAGGAAUAUUGGUCAAUGGACGAGAGUCUGAACCAGCCAAGUAGCGUGAAGGAUGACUGCCCUAUGGGUUGUAAACUUCUUUUAUAUGGGAAUAAAAUGUUCCACGUGUGGCUUUUUGUAUGUACCAUAUGAAUAAGGAUCGGCUAACUCCGUGCCAGCAGCCGCGGUAAUACGGAGGAUCCGAGCGUUAUCCGGAUUUAUUGGGUUUAAAGGGAGCGUAGGUGGAUUGUUAAGUCAGUUGUGAAAGUUUGCGGCUCAACCGUAAAAUUGCAGUUGAUACUGGCAGUCUUGAGUACAGUAGAGGUGAGCGGAAUUCGUGGUGUAGCGGUGAAAUGCUUAGAUAUCACGAAGAACCCCGAUUGCGAAGGCAGCUCACUAAACUGCAACUGACACUGAGGCUCGAAAGUGUGGGUAUCAAACAGGAUUAGAUACCCUAGUAGUC
Molecule: ribosomal RNA, 460 nt
Filed under: uncultured bacterium
Lineage: Bacteria
Description: partial 16S ribosomal RNA
Rfam family: Bacterial small subunit ribosomal RNA
Source: RNAcentral